This is a non-coding RNA of Macaca mulatta (Rhesus monkey), 3938 nucleotides long. The record is from RefSeq and is a predicted model, not a curated record. NCBI's taxonomy places the organism in Eukaryota, Metazoa, Chordata, Mammalia, Primates, Cercopithecidae.
ACAUGAACCCAGGAGGUCAAAGCUGCAGUGAGCUAUGAUUGCACCACCACACUCCAACCUGGGCAACAUAGCAAGACCCUGUCUCUAAAACAAGAAACAAAGUGCACCAGCGUGUGGAUACCAGCUUCUCCUGGUGUGUGGACCUGACCGUACUUGGCCCCAUUGCUCUGGUGCCCUGCAGGGUCUACUUUGGAGCACCUGGAGCCCAAGAAGCUGCCCCUCACCUUUGUGAUCCCAGGGACCCCCUCCCUGAUCAUGAUGAAGGCGGACCCAAACCCGCUGGGGUGCCUGAAGGAGCAGGGUCAGCCUCUGCCUCCCACGGCCUCUCUGAUGGCAAUGAAAGCAGCUUGCUGGAGGUCACCUGUCAGGUAGGGACAGAGAGGGAUCUGGGUUCUUUCUCACCCAGCCGCAGCUCCCCCUCCACCUGGCCCCUUCCCCCAGGUGAUAGAGAACCUGGCAUGCUGUGCCCCAUAGAAGAGUCCCCUUUCCUUCUGGUGAGGGAUGGAAACCAGCUUGGGGUGGGAGGGAUGAGGGUUCUGGGGGCUCUCCCAGCCCGCCUCACAUUUGAAGGAUGGCAUCUGGGUGGCAGCAUGGUUUAGGCUCGACAAGGUGGCCCCUAGGUUUAUUGUCUGGCCUUGGGCAGGAUGCUGCCAUGCCACCUUCUCUUCUGCACAUCCUGACCUGGCACCCUACUUAGUUAAAUGUCCUCAGGCCUCCUGCACCUUGGGCAUUGCCCCCACUCCCUGCCCAGACACAGCUGUCCUUUUCCUGGGCUAAUCUUCAGAGAUUCUUGUCCAGCCCACAGCUUUGCUGGACAUCGCAGGCUGGGCCAGGCCCCCUGCCCAGCACUAACAUCUCUCUGUGAGUCUCAACCAGACUGAGCCGCAGCUUCAGGGUCAGGGUAGGUGCUGACUUAAUUGACGUGACCCAGGACAAGGGGGUUUAUUGAUGGUGUCACAUCUGCUUAAGCUCUUGGCCUCUAUGGUUUCUUUGGGGGCAAGAUACUCCUCUGUCCCAUGCUUAGGCACCCACAUGUGGCCACAAGUGCCUUUCCUACCACCAUCCCUACUGCAGGCCAGUGUCCAGGCACCUGUGGCUCCAGGUGCAGAGUGCAGAGCCAGGCUUGGGUGGACAUUCUGCAGGGGCUGCAGGAGCUGACAGCCCUGGCCACCCAGCCCAUGGCCAUCCAUUCCCCUUCACCGUGGCUGGUCCCUCAUCCACCGUCCUUCCAGGGGCUAGGCCUGGGCCCAAACUGACUUUUGCCUGCCCUGGUCCCCCUUGUGCCUGCCAGGGUCUUGACUAGGCAUGAUGUUCUUGUCCAUUUCCUUGAUUAUCCUCAAUCAGAGGUUUAUAGAGCCAUGUGGGGACAUCACAUCUCCUGUCUACCAGGCCCUCACCAGACAGAGGACUGCCUUGGCCCAGGCCUGGGAUAGUCAGGGGUCACACUCGCCUGUUGGGACCUAGCUUCAGCGGCUUCAAUCUGGGCAAUGGCCUGAUGGGCGGCUGCCCCUUCUCUGCUUGGGGAGGCAGGAGAGGAAGGUCAGGCAGGAGAUCUGCGUCCUGCCCACCUGAGGCUGGUUGGAAGCAGGCGCCCACCUGUGCCUGUCUCACCUUGCUGCAGGUGCAUUGGAGGAUGAAUCCCCUCUCCUGAUCUCCUGCAGGUGCAGAUUCCAGGUUUACAGUAGGUGUUGGGGUGGGCUCCAGAGCUGUCCUGGCCCUAGGAAACCCUGGGCUCCAUAAGUCCAUGGCCUAGCCAGAUUGUUUCCCACACUAUCACCUCCCCACACUUUCACCUCCCCAAACAUGGGGCUGCAUGCUGUGUGCCCUGGGUGGGACAUUGGAAGGAGUUCCACCUUCCAGGUUUGGAUCACAGUAAAGCCUCUGCCAUGGGGAUGUGCUCGCUGAGACAGAUGGGGUUGAAUCAGCCCUGUCACGUUGGCCUUGGGCAAGUCACCUGCGCCUUGCUUCCCUUUCCCCAGCAGCUGGACAGGGAUAAUAGCACCUAUUUCACCCAUACUCAGGUGCUCACUUGUUAGCAGGAACUGAGUCCCGGAGGAGGUGCAGGGGGAGCCAUCGAGGCAGCACUGCAGCUGGACCUGGUCUGAGUCCCAGCUCCUGGCUGUGAGAUGUGUCUCUCCCUCUGUUUAUUCAUCUGAAGGACAGGGCUGUGCUCUUCUGGGGUCACUGUGACAAUGCAGCUGGCCUGUGUGAGUAGGUGGUGGCCUCCUGAGAUGGUUUGAGGUGGACUGGAGGUGUGUCUUGAAUACUCCCUCACCCACUUGAGGAAGACCCACUUCGGGAAGACUCAUGUGUCUGUAUGAAGGAAACCAGGUUCCCUGCCCUUGAGUUGUCCUCUAUCCCUUCCCAGCCCCCUCUAGUGUCAUGCAGGCUCUGGUGGUGGCCAUCCAGCUUGGUGGCCAUCUGGCUGGUCCACACUUCCAGGUGGACCCUCUCUCCUCACAUGGUGCAUGUCCCAUUGUGCCACCUCCAGACAGACCACGCUAGCCCCAGGGCCUCCCUUAACUGGUACCCAGCCCCCACCACUAGGUAUGUGCCCCCUCCCUAAAGCCCGCUCUGUUCACCAGCUGUGUUUGAACUCUGUCUCUGUGCAAGGCCUCAUGCAAAGCCUGAAACAGCCUGGCUUGUAGAGGACCAGGAGACCAAAGCUUGAAGACAGAGUGAUGGUCUCCCAGAGUCCACUUAGCCUCAGCCCCAGAGCUGCGUCCGUGCUGGUCCUGGCUCCAGUGAUCCAGUUCUCUCCUGUGACGUCUAAGUACAGAGGAACCUGGUGCUGGCUGCAGUCAACCCCGAUGUGAUGACCUUUCUACCCGCCCUCUUUGAUGUCUUGGUGCUGGCUGCUGUCUUUGGCCAGAAAACGCUUGCUACCCCUGCACUGAUCCAUCUAAUGGAAUACGCUGCUCACUCCGAGAGUUGAUCCUAGUAGGAAAUGUUGCUGACAAUUUAACAGAUGCUGCUUUUAUGUUUUAUUUUGUCGCUGCUCUGGUGGGAGACAUGUAAGAAAAUUCACCCCCUGGGAGGAGGUCAUGGUGGGGCUUGUGGCCAUCAAUGGUGAAGCCUCUUUAAGAGGAUGCGUGGGGAGCUCUACUCUCUGCUAAGGGGGUUGUGAUGGGCCCUCUGUGUUGAGGAAUGAAGAGGGAACAUGGUCUGUCUGCUGGGAACUGGCUUUCUGGGGAGCAGAAGAGAUGGUAGUUUGGGCCUGUGGAGGCAGAGGCCCAAACCAAUCUGGUCUCUGGGGCGGCCAGCAGGGAGAGUAGCUGUGUAGGAGUGGGUGCGAGGGCAGAGCCCGAAGGAGGGCACCCUGACCACACUCCCAGGAGGCUGCGGUGGUGGGGGUGGGGCAGCACUGUAGGAGGACCAGCACCUUCUGUGACUGAGGGGUCCUUGGAGAGCAGCUCUGGGCUGUGCAUACCUGGAGGGGACUGAUUUCACCCAGCGCUCUCCCAACCUGGGUGUGGAACAGCUCUCCCGGUUAGGAUGGCAUGAGCUUGCAGAAGUCAUCCUAUCAGGAGGCCUCAAGAGGAGAUAUGUGUUUCUUGCAGCCCCUGCACUGGGGCAGAGCUGAGGGGUUUUGCCUCUGACUUCGUGGGACAGAUCUUGUCAUGCAUGUGAGGACUCAGUGAGGUCCUGGGCAAUCAGGGAGGUGACGGGACCCUCUCAUCCCUCUGAUCUUGACUGCUUCUCGCCUAUGUCCAGCUCCUUGCUGAAACUCUAUGCCCCAUUCCUCUCUGUGGCCCCAACACAUGAGCGAGUAUUGUCUGAAGAAAAUUCUGCCCAUUCUCUAGAAGGGGAACACCGAGGUUUAGAGAGGGGAAGAGCCUGAUGGCCCAGAGACACACAGGGAUCACAGCCCUACUAAAAACACAGAAAUUAGCUGGUAUAGUGGCACAGGCCUGUAAUUCCAGCUACUAGGGGGGCUG